AUUGAACGCUGGCGGCAGGCCUAACACAUGCAAGUCGAGCGGAUGAGAGGAGCUUGCUUCUCGAUUCAGCGGCGGACGGGUGAGUAAUGCCUAGGAAUCUGCCUGGUAGUGGGGGACAACGUUUCGAAAGGAACGCUAAUACCGCAUACGUCCUACGGGAGAAAGCAGGGGACCUUCGGGCCUUGCGCUAUCAGAUGAGCCUAGGUCGGAUUAGCUAGUUGGUGAGGUAAUGGCUCACCAAGGCGACGAUCCGUAACUGGUCUGAGAGGAUGAUCAGUCACACUGGAACUGAGACACCGUCCAGACUCCUACGGGAGGUAGCAGUGGGGAAUAUUGGACAAUGGGCGAAAGCCUGAUCCAGCCAUGCCGCGUGUGUGAAGAAGGUCUUCGGAUUGUAAAGCACUUUAAGUUGGGAGGAAGGGUUGUAGAUUAAUACUCUGCAAUUUUGACGUUACCGACAGAAUAAGCACCGGCUAACUCUGUGCCAGCCGCCGCAGUAA
RNAcentral lists this ribosomal RNA (500 nucleotides) under uncultured bacterium. RNAcentral's name for it is "partial 16S ribosomal RNA". It matches the Rfam family "Bacterial small subunit ribosomal RNA", at positions 30 to 523 of the family's 1533-position model. The record is from RNAcentral.